Molecule: long non-coding RNA, 1163 nt
Organism: Biomphalaria glabrata
Lineage: Eukaryota; Metazoa; Mollusca; Gastropoda; Planorbidae
Exons: 3
Source: RefSeq, a predicted model, not a curated record
AACAUAGGAAGGAAGAAGAGUGUAGAUAUGCGCACAAUUUUGAAAUGCAAGUAAAGAAAAAGACCCAGUGUGUGAAGCAUGAUCGACUUCUCAUUGUUUGCUACUAGACCUGUUGUGUAGCCGGCUUAUUCCAUUUUUCUUGUUGUUGUUGGGUUUUUUUCUCCUGAGGGCCGGAUUUAGGGGAUUGCAUGCUGGGCUCGGCACCUCCACAAGAAGGAGACCUCCAAAAGAAAUAAAAAUAAAUCCAAAUUUCGAUGAGCCAGAAAAUUAGCUAAACGAGAAGCCCCCGUGUAACCAACAAGAAAACUAACGAACAUAGACGCAGCAAAGUCACUGACCUUCGGACUUGAACUUGAUGGACGACGAGACCACGAGAUCCACGGUCAUGUAGAGGGCAACGUGCAAGAAAGAGCUCCGGACAACUGAAGAUGAUUAGAGCCAUUUAAGAGGAUUGGGUUGGAAGUAAUCUAUAAGAAUUCUGGCUUCGUUACGAGUUCUAACCAAAGAACCAUUACUCUAUUAGAGAUUCUCGUGUAUAGCGUAAAGAUAUAGACAUCUAACUUUUUGGUGGAUUUCUAUGAAUAGAAAAAUUUUAAAUGGGUGCCUCUGCUAUAUCUUUAUUCAAGUCACUCCUUCAUGGAUGGUGCUUGGACGCUGAUCUCAAAAAUGGUUUUGACGAUUUACCUAGAAAUUUAAUAGUUAAUGUAUAUCGUUGAGAAAAGAAUUAGUAGCUCGUUGACCAUAUAGGGAAAACUCUUGUUUGUCUGUUAUAAUUUUUCAAAGUAAAAGUAAAUAAAUGUAAAUUUGGCUAGAGACUAAAUCUAGGUCUAGAUCGUACAUCGGUUUUGAAAGGUCUAUCGCGUUCUCGUAAGGACAAUACGUUCGGGAAUUUCCGAAUGUAAAGCUUUAUUGAUUCAAGAAUUUAAUAAAUGAAAUUAUGUCUUCCAAGUCUAGAUAUAAAUGCUUAUUAUUGGAAUAUUAAAUGGUGUAUAUGUCUAUGAGUGUACUAGAUCUUCAUUCAAUUAACCAGAACUCUUUCUCGGGGGAAAGGGGACGGAGUAAAAAAAUGUUUUUAAAUCUAAUAUACUUUAAUAUUUAAGAGAAAAACAAUCUCUCAAGAAGUUACAUAAAGGAGGUAGUGUCUUUUUUAUAAUGUUUUUCUU